UGUUGUUCUCUUUACUCUUCUCCUUGCAGCCAACACGACAACCAUGACGUCGAGGCUUCGCAGCAUCCAAGUCAGAAUCACUUGACUCCAGAAACAGGCCUCUGAGACAUCUUCUUCUGACUGUAGGCUCUUGAGUAAGUUUUUGGGAGGGGGUCAUGUUGAAUUCAGCCUUUCGUGUCUCAAUGAGCUCUGGUUUUUGAGACAGCUUCUUUAAUUCUGUUGGACAAUGCGAGUGAAUCAGGUGGACACCAGGAUUUCCUUCCGUUAUGGAUGUGUUGAAUAAAAUUGAGUUGUUGAUACCCUGUGCAUUGCUGUUCACAUAUGCCUCUGAUGCUUGAUCUUCUUUGGCAUUUGAGUUGUCAGAUUGUCUGUUGAAACUCUCCUCUCCAUCAGUUGUUGCUUCGGUACUGUCAUCAGGUUUGAUCUUAUAGCCUCUGCGAAUGUGGAUUGACCCUUCUUUCUUUGAUGUGUCAAAGCCUACAUGCAUUGAUGCUCCCCUAUUUUCACCAGCAAGAGUGAUUACACUCACUGGCCUGUCAUCUAUGGAGUGCUUGGAAUCCCCAAUAGCCAUCUUAUUAACAAGCUUUGAAAUGUCGUCUCUGAUCUCUUUGUGCAGGGACCUAUGGUCUCCACUGGAGUUACUUUGUUUCUGUUGACUGUCAGCCAACAUGGUUUUGUUUCUUGGAUGGGCGGUUGGUAUUUUGUUUUCUUUGCCAUUAGAAGCAGAUGUUGCUGUCAUCUCCUUUCUGGCAAUAGUCUUCUGUGCUUGUUCUGACUGAAAUGGAAUGGUAGAUAGGUCUUUAGUCUGCACUGUCUGCCCCUGUUCCACCUUAAGGUCACUUCCUAUAUGCCUGGCUCUGUCAUGUGCCUUGUCUUUAAUGUCUUGCAUGACUUCCUUCACCUCUUUGGGUUCCUCUGGUUUCAUAUCUUUAGAGAAUGAUUCAGGUUCACCAUUGACAGUCGAAGAAGUUGAUUUCUGUGUUACAACAGGUGUUUCUGGACCUUUAGUAGUAGUGAACACGUCUGCUGCUAUUUUCCCUGAUUCUUUUAAAGGCCGCUGUGUCAUCUCAUUGGGUUGAACAAUGGUUUUAAUUGGGGCUCGAUCUUGAGAGUCAUGAAUGUUAUCUGCAGGGACUGCUGUCUUUGGCUGAAAUUCAAGAGGAAGUGAUUCGGAUACUGCUGAUUUUGGUUCUUGUUUAUCAGAGGGAGAAAAACCUUCAGUGGAACUGGCAGAAGAUUGAGAGUUCUUCUGAGUUGGGCUUUGCUCUGUUUUCAGUGGAGAAGCAAGCUGGGUGGCAGCUGCUGUUGUGGGUUGCCGUUGAGCAGUUGUGCUAGAUGGAGGAGGAGGUGGAGAUGUCUGGCCUGCCUGGAUAGGGGCUAAUGAAGGGGACCUGGGCUGUGUGGCUGUUUGGGGUGUUGAUGGGAGCUCGGUUGAUCUGCGAGAUGGAGAUGAGGGUAGAGAUACAGCUUCUUGUUGAGGGGCUGCAUGAGGUGGAGCCGAGGGCUGGGAAGGAGCUCGCGAUUGAGUGUCUACACGAGACAGAGACGCUGGCUGAGAAGGGACUCUGGGUUGAGUGAUGGCAGGAGAUGGUGAUGAAGGCUGCGAUUCAGUUCUGGAUGUCUGAGAUUGAAGAUGAGGGCCCUGUGCUGGGGCUACGGCUGGAGGCCUGUAUGGUGGCCUUUCAGGUGCCUGUGGAGUGGGUGUCUGGGUAGGUCUUGUAGUUAUCGUAGGCUGGGUAACUGUUGCUCUUUCAGCCGUUUGAGUAGUGGGAGCAGGGGUUGUAGUGGUGCUCGGCUGGGAAGGGAUUUGGGUUUCAGCUGUUUGAGGCAUUGCAGGGGGAGCGGUGGUAGAGAUGGAGGGCUGGGGAGGGGCUUCAGUUGUUGCAGCUGUUUGUGGCGUGGUUGGGGGAGGGGUGAUGGUGACGGAGGGCUGGGGAGGGGCUUCGGUUGUUGCAGCUGUUUGUGGCAUGGUUGGGGGAGGGGUGGCAGUGACGGAGGGCUGGGGAGGGGCUGGGGUUGCAGUUGUUUGUGGCAUUGUUUGGGACGGGGUCGUAGCAGGAGUAGGCUGGGCCGGUGGCCUGGGGGGAAAUGUUGGACGUGGGGGUGGUGCAGCUGGUAACCAGGGAAGACGAAAGCGGAAUGCUGGUCUUUGGUCUGCCAUAGAGGUUUAAAGGAGUGACCUAUGAAGUAAAUAACUGAAUUUUGAGCCCUAAGAGUUGGUUGCCUGGCAUAAGGAGCGAAAUGCAACAUAUAUAGCUUCUCAUAUGAUUCUUUGGAAAGUUUGUAAGUACAUUUGGUCUGCUUACUUGUCAUUGUUUCCUUCUUUGCCUGCCUUGUCUGAUUUCCUUAAACUGAUUUUCCUUGGCAGAUCAGCUAGCAUCUUUUUCAGUAGGCCAAUGAACUCACUCUUGGGAAUUCAUCACGGCAUGUCUUUACAACUUUGUGGUGAGAUCUUACACUGUUUUUUUGUUUUUCCUCUUCCUCUAGAGAGUAGAUUAGCAUAUUCUUCUCUCGUUCUUGGCCAAACCCAAACCCAACAGUUUGCGCCACAUACAUGUGAAACAUGUGGGGACUUUUUGUGUUGAUAGUAUGCCAAGGUUUAUUAAUACUUGAUUUAUUAAAAAGAAUAAAGAAAUUUUUUUUUUUUUUUUAAAAAAAAAAACUACACUUCAAGAAGGGGGUGCUACUCCAGCUCCAGAAGCAUUUAGGAAUUGCCUGGAUGGAGAAUCCUCUUCUUGUUCAUUUGUAAAAGGGAGUACUCAAGAAUCAACUUUCAUUAAACUCCCUCUGCCCCCAGAAUCAAUUCAGAGCACUAAGAAUCCACUGGUCUUGAGAAACAAGGCGCCUAGAUGGCAUGAGCAAUUGCAAUGCUGGUGCCUAAAUUUCAAAGGGCGUGUUACUGUGGCCUCUGUCAAGAACUUUCAGCUGGUGGCAGCCAUGAAUCCAUCUGAGAUUAUUCCAGUUGAAGAACAAGAUAAGGUGAUCCUACAAUUUGGAAAGAUUGGAAAGGAUAUCUUUACAAUGGACUAUCGAUACCCCCUCUCUGCCUUCCAGGCCUUCGCAAUCUGUUUAAGCAGCUUUGACACUAAACCAGCAUGCGAGUAGUUGUACCAUCUUGCUUUUUCCAAAGUUAGUUUUUGUGUGUAAAUAUACCAAAGGAAGCCUGUUUGAGCUUCGUCUUUAGAUAGGAUGAUUAUGUGUGAAAAUCCAAACAUUUAUGUUCAGUUUUCAAAUGUAUCUGAUCCUCAAAAGUGUAAGUUAUCGUGAUUUUAUUUCCCAGAAGUCUGUAAUGUUUUCAAAGUUAUUGGAGUCUUACAUUUUUAAUGUUGCAAGUAGGAUCUAACUUUAGAUAAGGAAAGAUUGGCUAGUAGCUUUAACUGAGUCCUUUUGGGAUUGGAGAUUUAUAUGUAAUUUUACUACCACAGAAUAUCCUUGUUUAUAAUGAAUUCAACAACAUAAUGCAGGUAAAACCAUAUCAUUCUGGAACCUAUGACAUCCUUACUACUAUUUACUUUUGUUCGAUUUAAAGAAUGUCUUCACAGAUACUAUGAGGAUUUUGUUGUGAAUAUGUGAUGUAUGCACAUUUAUUUCAUAUGUAUUAGCAUGCUAGUAUGGUGUUCAGGAUAUUGCUUGCUCAGUGAGCAUCAAUGUUGUUCUCUUUACUCUUCUCCUUGCAGCCAACACGACAACCAUGACGUCGAGGCUUCGCAGCAUCCAAGUCAGAAUCACUUGACUCCAGAAACAGGCCUCUGAGACAUCUUCUUCUGACUGUAGGCUCUUGAGUAAGUUUUUGGGAGGGGGUCAUGUUGAAUUCAGCCUUUCGUGUCUCAAUGAGCUCUGGUUUUUGAGACAGCUUCUUUAAUUCUGUUGGACAAUGCGAGUGAAUCAGGUGGACACCAGGAUUUCCUUCCGUUAUGGAUGUGUUGAAUAAAAUUGAGUUGUUGAUACCCUGUGCAUUGCUGUUCACAUAUGCCUCUGAUGCUUGAUCUUCUUUGGCAUUUGAGUUGUCAGAUUGUCUGUUGAAACUCUCCUCUCCAUCAGUUGUUGCUUCGGUACUGUCAUCAGGUUUGAUCUUAUAGCCUCUGCGAAUGUGGAUUGACCCUUCUUUCUUUGAUGUGUCAAAGCCUACAUGCAUUGAUGCUCCCCUAUUUUCACCAGCAAGAGUGAUUACACUCACUGGCCUGUCAUCUAUGGAGUGCUUGGAAUCCCCAAUAGCCAUCUUAUUAACAAGCUUUGAAAUGUCGUCUCUGAUCUCUUUGUGCAGGGACCUAUGGUCUCCACUGGAGUUACUUUGUUU
This 4297-nucleotide long non-coding RNA is filed under the name Coffea arabica (coffee). RNAcentral's name for it is "long non-coding RNA (CARA_LNC006690)". Lineage: Eukaryota; Viridiplantae; Streptophyta; Magnoliopsida; Gentianales; Rubiaceae. The record is from RNAcentral.